Peromyscus leucopus (white-footed mouse) is the source of this 312-nucleotide long non-coding RNA. RefSeq lists it as uncharacterized. Lineage: Eukaryota; Metazoa; Chordata; Mammalia; Rodentia; Cricetidae. The transcript has 2 exons. The record is from RefSeq and is a predicted model, not a curated record.
CCUAGCUCAGUGUGUGAUACACAGUGGAUGCUCUGCAGAUGGCUACAGACUACUUACUCUCUCUACCCUUGGCUGCAUAAGUUCUUCCGAACUCCAACAAAUGGAAAGUCUCCUCUGGACAUCUGUGGAUAAAGAGUUGUCCGUCGGAAGAACUCAAUCUCAUUGGUUAUGUCACAAAGGAAGAAGAGCACAUUUGCUUUAAUGGAGUUUAUUUGGAGCAUCCUGCCGCUAAUGUGAGCACACAGAUUGGGCAAGUUCCACCAGCAUAACUUUAAAACUAUUUGUACUCAAUUAAAUGUUUAUUUAAAAUUU